Molecule: ribosomal RNA, 1353 nt
Filed under: Salmonella enterica subsp. enterica serovar Typhimurium
Lineage: Bacteria; Pseudomonadati; Pseudomonadota; Gammaproteobacteria; Enterobacterales; Enterobacteriaceae
Also listed under: 1 other name
Description: partial 23S ribosomal RNA
Rfam family: Bacterial large subunit ribosomal RNA
Source: RNAcentral
GGGCGUUAAGUUGCAGGGUAUAGACCCGAAACCCGGUGAUCUAGCCAUGGGCAGGUUGAAGGUUGGGUAACACUAACUGGAGGACCGAACCGACUAAUGUUGAAAAAUUAGCGGAUGACCUGUGGCUGGGGGUGAAAGGCCAAUCAAACCGGGAGAUAGCUGGUUCUCCCCGAAAGCUAUUUAGGUAGCGCCUCGUGAAUUCAUCUCCGGGGGUAGAGCACUGUUUCGGCUAGGGGGCCAUCCCGGCUUACCAACCCGAUGCAAACUGCGAAUACCGGAGAAUGUUAUCACGGGAGACACACGGCGGGUGCUAACGUCCGUCGUGAAGAGGGAAACAACCCAGACCGCCAGCUAAGGUCCCAAAGUCAUGGUUAAGUGGGAAACGAUGUGGGAAGGCCCAGACAGCCAGGAUGUUGGCUUAGAAGCAGCCAUCAUUUAAAGAAAGCGUAAUAGCUCACUGGUCGAGUCGGCCUGCGCGGAAGAUGUAACGGGGCUAAACCAUGCACCGAAGCUGCGGCAGCGACGCUGAUGCGUUGUUGGGUAGGGGAGCGUUCUGUAAGCCUGUGAAGGUGUGUCGUGAGGCAUGCUGGAGGUAUCAGAAGUGCGAAUGCUGACAUAAGUAACGAUAAAGCGGGUGAAAAGCCCGCUCGCCGGAAGACCAAGGGUUCCUGUCCAACGUUAAUCGGGGCAGGGUGAGUCGACCCCUAAGGCGAGGCCGAAAGGCGUAGUCGAUGGGAAACGGGUUAAUAUUCCCGUACUUGGUGUUACUGCGAAGGGGGGACGGAGAAGGCUAUGUUGGCCGGGCGACGGUUGUCCCGGUUUAAGCGUGUAGGUGUGUGUUCCAGGUAAAUCCGGUUCACUUUAACACUGAGGCGUGACGACGAGGCACUACGGUGCUGAAGCAACAAAUGCCCUGCUUCCAGGAAAAGCCUCUAAGCAUCAGGUAACACGAAAUCGUACCCCAAACCGACACAGGUGGUCAGGUAGAGAAUACCAAGGCGCUUGAGAGAACUCGGGUGAAGGAACUAGGCAAAAUGGUGCCGUAACUUCGGGAGAAGGCACGCUGACACGUAGGUGAAGUGAUUUACUCAUGGAGCUGAAGUCAGUCGAAGAUACCAGCUGGCUGCAACUGUUUAUUAAAAACACAGCACUGUGCAAACACGAAAGUGGACGUAUACGGUGUGACGCCUGCCCGGUGCCGGAAGGUUAAUUGAUGGGGUCAGCGUAAGCGAAGCUCCUGAUCGAAGCCCCGGUAAACGGCGGCCGUAACUAUAACGGUCCUAAGGUAGCGAAAUUCCUUGUCGGGUAAGUUCCGACCUGCACGAAUGGCGUAAUGAUGGCCAGGCUGUCUCC